UCGAUGAAGAACGCAGCGAAAUGCGAUAAGUAAUGUGAAUUGCAGAUUUUCAGUGAAUCAUCGAAUCUUUGAACGCACCUUGCGCUCCUUGGUAUUCCGAGGAGCAUGCCUGUUUGAGUGUCAUUAAAUUCUCAAACUCUGAUUGAUUGUUUCAAUCGGAGGUUUGGAUUUGGAGUGUGCCGGCGUCAAGUCGGCUCCUCUUGAAUGCAUCAGCGGAAUCCCAUUCAUUUCGGACGUCAGUGUGAUAAUCAUGUUGCGCUGUCUUUGCGAUCUUGAAAGCCCGCUCACAAUGGUCUUCGGACAAACCUCACAUAUCAUAUUUGACCUCAAAUCAGGUAGGACUACCCGCUGAACUUAA
This 358-nucleotide ribosomal RNA is filed under the name uncultured Piloderma. Its description in RNAcentral is "eukaryotic LSU rRNA". The stretch from base 1 to 123 matches the Rfam family "5.8S ribosomal RNA", at positions 33 to 154 of the family's 154-position model. Lineage: Eukaryota; Fungi; Basidiomycota; Agaricomycetes; Atheliales; Atheliaceae. The record is from RNAcentral.